UGGGGAAUAUUGGACAAUGGGCGCAAGCCUGAUCCAGCCAUGCCGCGUGAGUGAUGAAGGCCUUAGGGUUGUAAUGCUCUUUUUGGCGGGGACGAUAAUGACGGUACCCGCAGAAUAAGCCCCGGCUAACUUCGUGCCAGCAGCCGCGGUAAUACGAAGGGGGCUAGCGUUGUUCGGAAUUACUGGGCGUAAAGCGCACGUAGGCGGAUCAGCAAGUCAGGGGUGAAAUCCCGGGGCUCAACCUCGGAACUGCCUCUGAUACUGCUGGUCUGGAGUCCGGAAGAGGUGGGUGGAAUUCCUAGUGUAGAGGUGAAAUUCGCAGAUAUUAGGAAGAACACCGGUGGCGAAGGCGGCCCACUGGUCCGGUACUGACGCUGAGGUGCGAAAGCGUGGGGAGCAAACAGGAUUAGAUACCCCAGUAGUCCCUGAGCGGGCUGGCAAGGCGCAU
Molecule: ribosomal RNA, 448 nt
Filed under: uncultured bacterium
Lineage: Bacteria
Description: bacterial SSU rRNA
Rfam family: Bacterial small subunit ribosomal RNA
Source: RNAcentral